RNAcentral lists this ribosomal RNA (253 nucleotides) under uncultured bacterium. RNAcentral's name for it is "partial 16S ribosomal RNA". It matches the Rfam family "Bacterial small subunit ribosomal RNA", at positions 524 to 776 of the family's 1533-position model. The record is from RNAcentral.
UACAGAGGGUGCGAGCGUUAAUCGGAAUUACUGGGCGUAAAGCGCGCGUAGGCGGCUUCGCAAGUCGGAUGUGAAAUCCCCAGGCUUAACCUGGGAACUGCAUUCGAGACUGCGUUGCUAGAGUAUGGGAGGGGGAAGUGGAGUUUCCGGUGUAGCGGUGAAAUGCGUAGAUAUCGGAAGGAACACCAGUGGCGAAAGCGACUUCCUGGACCAAUACUGACGCUCAGGCGCGAAAGCGUGGGGAGCAAACAGG